This 27-nucleotide non-coding RNA is filed under the name Homo sapiens (human). The record is from RNAcentral. Lineage: Eukaryota; Metazoa; Chordata; Mammalia; Primates; Hominidae.
UGUGCUUUAGAAGUGGUGUUGCCAUCC